This 253-nucleotide ribosomal RNA is filed under the name uncultured bacterium. Its description in RNAcentral is "partial 16S ribosomal RNA". It matches the Rfam family "Bacterial small subunit ribosomal RNA", at positions 524 to 776 of the family's 1533-position model. The record is from RNAcentral.
UACGGAGGGUGCAAGCGUUGUUCGGAAUCAUUGGGCGUAAAGCGGGUGUAGGCGGCUUGGCAAGUCGGGUGUGAAAUCCCGAGGCCCAACCUCGGAACUGCAUUCGAAACUGCCUGGCUAGAGACCCGGAGAGGGUGGCGGAAUUCCAGGUGUAGGGGUGAAAUCCGUAGAUAUCGGGAGGAACACCAGUGGCGAAGGCGGCCUCCUGGACGGUGACUGACGCUGAGACGCGAAAGCGUGGGGAGCAAACAGG